Molecule: ribosomal RNA, 253 nt
Filed under: uncultured bacterium
Lineage: Bacteria
Description: partial 16S ribosomal RNA
Rfam family: Bacterial small subunit ribosomal RNA
Source: RNAcentral
UACGUAGGGGGCUAGCGUUGUCCGGAAUCAUUGGGCGUAAAGCGCGUGUAGGCGGCCCGGUAAGUCCGCUGUGAAAGUCGGGGGCUCAACCCUCGAAUGCCGGUGGAUACUGUCGGGCUCGAGUGCGGAAGAGGCGAGUGGAAUUCCUGGUGUAGCGGUGAAAUGUGUUGAUAUCGGUGGGAACGCCAGUGGCGAAAGCGGCAAACUUGACCCUUCCUGACGCUGAGGCGCGAAAGCUAGGGGAGCAAACGGG